CAGCAGCCGCGGUAAUACGGAGGGGGCUAGCGUUGUUCGGAAUUACUGGGCGUAAAGCGUGCGUAGGCGGUUCGUUAAGUCUGUUGUGAAAGCCCCGGGCUCAACCUGGGAAUGGCAAUGGAUACUGGCGAGCUAGAGUGUGUCAGAGGAUGGUGGAAUUCCCGGUGUAGCGGUGAAAUGCGUAGAGAUCGGGAGGAACAUCAGUGGCGAAGGCGGCCAUCAGGGACAACACUGACGCUGAGGCACGAAAGCGUGGGGAGCAAACAGGAUUAGAUACCCCAGUAGUCCCUGUCUCUUAUAC
RNAcentral lists this ribosomal RNA (301 nucleotides) under uncultured bacterium. RNAcentral describes it as "partial 16S ribosomal RNA". It matches the Rfam family "Bacterial small subunit ribosomal RNA", at positions 509 to 807 of the family's 1533-position model. The record is from RNAcentral.